CCGUGUGCAUACAAACAGUAGGAGCCUCUUCGGGGGUGACUGCGUACCUUUUGUAUAAUGGGUCAGCGACUUACAUUCAGUGGCAAGGUUAACCGAAUAGGGAAGCCGUAGAGAAAUCGAGUCCGAACAGGGCGAUAGUCGCUGGGUGUAGACCCGAAACCAAGUGAUCUACUCAUGGCCAGGAUGAAGGUGCGGUAACACGCACUGGAGGUCCGAACCCACUAAUGUUGAAAAAUUAGGGGAUGAGCUGUGGGU
RNAcentral lists this ribosomal RNA (255 nucleotides) under Duganella flavida. RNAcentral describes it as "partial 23S ribosomal RNA". It matches the Rfam family "Bacterial large subunit ribosomal RNA", at positions 556 to 816 of the family's 2925-position model. Lineage: Bacteria; Pseudomonadati; Pseudomonadota; Betaproteobacteria; Burkholderiales; Oxalobacteraceae. The record is from RNAcentral.